AUCUCUUUCUGUUAUUUGAUCAAUUCCACUCUCCCCCUCUCCGGAGUUGCUUUUGUGUUUAAUUGAUGAUAAGUAGCCUAGCUUGAUGAGUUUACGUUGGAGGUUGUUGUUUGGUUUUUGUGGGAAUUUGAGAUAGAAUCGGGCUCCUUUUGCUUUAAAUAUUAGUCAGUUAUGGGGUAAUUUUGUGGAUUUGUUGAAUUACAAAUGAAUAAUAGCAAUGCAAGG
This 225-nucleotide unclassified non-coding RNA is filed under the name Hevea brasiliensis (rubber tree). Lineage: Eukaryota; Viridiplantae; Streptophyta; Magnoliopsida; Malpighiales; Euphorbiaceae. The record is from RNAcentral.